This is a non-coding RNA of Thunnus maccoyii (southern bluefin tuna), 858 nucleotides long. NCBI's taxonomy places the organism in Eukaryota, Metazoa, Chordata, Actinopteri, Scombriformes, Scombridae. The record is from the annotation of a RefSeq genome assembly.
CACUCCCAUUGAAACAAAUGUUGUAAAUCCUCAAAUUUGUUUCCAAAAGAAGUUAUUUUAUUCCAUUAAGAUCAUAGAUGGUGUAAAUCCAAACAGUAUUUCUCCUGAUUUUGUGUUCCACGUUGCCUUCAGUCUGUUGAGAGCAGAGAAAUCAUUUCCAUAGAGAGGAGGCUUUGCAUCGUCAGCUGAUCCUCCAGUGAACUGAGAAGGUUUAUAGUCCUGUGAGUUCAACACUGCAGGACUCAGAUCUGUCAGUCAACACAGCAGAAAGCACAACCACCAUGACUCUCAUCACCAUCCUCAUCUGGACGCUGGCCUGCUGCUGUUUUACAGGAUGCAGCGGUCAGUUGACUGUGACUCAACCUCCAGUAGUGACAUCUACUCCAGGAUCCACUGUCACUCUGACCUGUAAAACCAGCCAGGCUGUUUUUAGAAAUAGUAAUGGAGAUUAUAUGUCCUGGUAUCAACAGAAAUCUGGACAGACUCCAAAACUCCUAAUAAAAUUUGCAAGCACACGUGAAUCAGGAACACCAGCUCGGUUUAGUGGCAGUGGAAGCAGGUCUGACUUCUCUUUGACCAUCAGUGGAGUUCAGACUGAAGAUGCAGCAGUUUACUACUGUCAGAGUUACCACGGUGGUACAGUGUUCACACAGUGAUUUGUAGUCGUACAAAAACCUCCCUCAGUCAGACUGCAGAGACACUGAGCUGUUACAGCAGGAACCGACUGCAGCUGCUGAAGAGGAAGAGACUCUGACACAGACCACUGAACACAGAGCUGACAGUAACCUCACCAAGCACAAACCUUAAUGCCAUCUCUACUUAUCUUUUCAAACUCAGAUUUUUACAAUUUUCAGUUAU